CGCAGACUCGGGGACGCUAGGGAUCGGAGCAUCUCCUUGUACCUUGAAAGGGAGAUGACCGGGUUACCUUACACUGACCUCUGGACAGCUGCCCAUCUGCACCGAGAGAACGCACAAGGCCGCAUUUGUUUGCUUGCAAAAUAUCUGGGUGUUUUCUACACCCGCCUACCUGUCCCCCAACACACACACACACCGGCGGGGGUGGGGGCCUGAGGGAUUAGAGGGAUAGAGUCAGGUCAAUCAGAAGAGAUUAGAGACUGGGCUGGACGUGUCCACUCUGAGGGCCUCUGAAAGUAGGCACUGCAGCUACGCUCCUGGUGCCCCGCCCUCAGGUGACUCGAGAUUGAUUUUUCUUGGUUCGUUAGUUCUGAAAGCCCGGGGCUGUAAAACGUUUGGGUCCAGAAUGAAACUCUGAUCCACGGAAGCUUUCCUUGCCCUGCACUCUCACCCCUGCUGGUGUCUGGAACUGGGCAGACUGGAGGAUUCUAAAGAGUUUGAGGUUGCGUAACCAUCCAGAAACACACGAUAAGAGUCCUCUUUCAGCAAAUAUUCUUGAUUAAGUCAUGAAAAUGGAAUUGGAGCUUAUUUUUCCCCUUUGUAUGGAGUCACCUAUUAGGUGCUACAUUUGGCAGUGUGUGGAACAAAGAAACUCCUACAGGGAGCUUAUAAUUAAGAAAGUGAUGCUCAGUCACAUUAUCCAGAGGACAACACAGGAGUAUACCCAGCUAGCAGCAAUGUGCCAUAAGAAUCUGCCUCUCUGACACAUGGAUUUCUUUUGAAGGCCCAUGCGUAUGAACACC
Bos taurus (domestic cattle) is the source of this 800-nucleotide long non-coding RNA. Lineage: Eukaryota; Metazoa; Chordata; Mammalia; Artiodactyla; Bovidae. The record is from Ensembl.